RNAcentral lists this ribosomal RNA (406 nucleotides) under uncultured bacterium. RNAcentral's name for it is "partial 16S ribosomal RNA". It matches the Rfam family "Bacterial small subunit ribosomal RNA", at positions 29 to 526 of the family's 1533-position model. The record is from RNAcentral.
AUUGAACGCUGGCGGCAGGCCUAACACAUGCAAGUCGAACGAGUGGCGGACGGGUGAGUAAUGUCUGGGAAACCGCCUGAUGGGGGGGGAUCAAUAGUGGAAAAGGUCUCUAAUCCCGCAAACCCUCAGAUGCGCCCAGAUGGGAUUAGCGAGUGGGUGGGGUAACGGCUCACCAGGGCGACGAUCCCUCGCUGGUCUGAGAGGAUGACCAGCCACAUUGGAACUGGGACACGGUCAAGACUCCUACGGGAGGCAGCAGUGGGGAAGAUUGCACAAUGGGCGCAAGCCUGAUGCAGCCAUGCCGCGUGUAUGAAGAAGGCCUUCGGGUUGUAAAGUACUUUCAGCGGGGAGGCGUUACCCGCAGAAGAAGCACCGGCUAACUCCGUGCCAGCAGCCGCGGUAAUUC